GUCGCAUUGGCGCAAUGGUAGCGCGCAAGACUUCUACUGUAGACAUAUCUUGAGGCUGUGGGUUCGAGCCCCACAUGCGAUG
Non-coding RNA from Blumeria graminis, 82 nucleotides. The record is from Rfam. NCBI's taxonomy places the organism in Eukaryota, Fungi, Ascomycota, Leotiomycetes, Helotiales, Erysiphaceae.